CAGUCGCCACGGUAAUACGUAGGUGGCAAGCGUUGUCCGGAAUUAUUGGGCGUAAAGGGCUCGCAGGCGGUUUCUUAAGUCUGAUGUGAAAGCCCCCGGCUCAACCGGGGAGGGUCAUUGGAAACUGGGAAACUUGAGUGCAGAAGAGGAGAGCGGAAUUCCACGUGUAGCGGUGAAAUGCGUAGAGAUGUGGAGGAACACCAGUGGCGAAGGCGACUCUCUGGUCUGUAACUGACGCUGAGGAGCGAAAGCGUGGGGAGCGAACAGGAUUAGAUACCCCGGUAGUCCCUGUCUCUUAUAC
This 301-nucleotide ribosomal RNA is filed under the name uncultured bacterium. RNAcentral's name for it is "partial 16S ribosomal RNA". It matches the Rfam family "Bacterial small subunit ribosomal RNA", at positions 509 to 807 of the family's 1533-position model. The record is from RNAcentral.